AGAAAGUGAGAAGAGCUGAGCGGCGGAGAGGAGGAGAGAGAUGAAGGUGUUCGUGAAGACGCUGAAGGGGACUCAUUUCGAGAUCCAAGUCAAUCCUGAUGACAAGGUUGCUGAUGUGAAAAAGAGCAUAGAAACUGCUCAAGGGAACAGUGUUUACCCGGCUGAAUCGCAGAUGCUCAUACAUCAAGGAAAGAUUCUUAAUGACCAGACAACGUUGGAUGAGAAUAAAGUUUCUGAAAAUAGUUUCAUUGUAAUUAUGCUGACUAAGGCAAAGGGUUCAUCUAGUGGAACUUCUGCCACUUCGAAGGUACCUUCAAAUCAGCCCCCACCUACUAGUACUGUGCCUCCCAUCCCUUCAACUCCAGCAUCAGCGUCACCUCAACUUCCUGCAUCAACCUUGACUCAAGUUCCCGCAAGUGCACCUACACCAACUGCAACAGCCGCGCCAUCACCUGCUGUUACUGUAGUCACUGAAACCGAUCCAUAUGGUCAAGCAGCAUCCAAUCUGGUUGCAGGAAGUAACUUUGAACAAACCAUUCAAUACAUUCUCGACAUGGGUGGAGGGACUUGGGACAGGGAGACUGUAGCUCGCGCCUUACGGGCUGCAUUCAACAAUCCCGAGAGAGCCGUUGAAUAUUUAUAUUCUGGAAUUCCUGAAAGUGCAGCCGCCCCUUCUGUGGCCGAAGUCGCCGAAGCACCUGCUGCUGGGCAAACUGCUGCCCUUCCAUCCCAGUUAGCACAACCACUACAACCUGCAGUCCCUUCCGGUGUGCCCAAUGCUAAUCCUUUGGACCUUUUCCCUCAGGGUAUACCUAGCAUCGGCUCCAAUCCUGGUGCGGGUAACCUUGAUUUUCUACGUAACAGUCCCCAGUUCCGCUACCUGCAAGCUAUGGUUCAGGCUAACCCUCAAAUCCUACAGCCAAUGCUUCAAGAGUUAGGGAAACAAAAUCCAAAUGUAAUGAGGCUCAUUCAGGAACAUCAGGCCGAAUUCCUUCGUCUGAUCAAUGAACCAGCUGAAGGAGCAGAGGGUGAUGUUCUGGGCCAGUUGCCAGCUGGUAUGCCACAAGCACUGUCUGUGACUCCAGAGGAGCGUGAAGCUAUAGAACGGCUUGAGGCAAUGGGCUUCGAUAGGGUGCUUGUGUUGGAGGUGUUCUUCGCUUGUAACAAGAAUGAGGAGCUUGCUGCGAAUUAUCUCCUAGAUCAUAUGCACGAGUUUGAAGACUGAUAUAAGCGGAGGUAAAACCUGAACAGUUUGAUCGAAAUCUAAGCCCGACUGCAACAAUGAUAACAACUUUGAAAGAGGGUUGGGAUCUGGGUACUUUAUGUAUGAUUUUAUUUUUCUUUUCUGUGUCAUUGUGCUUCUGUUUGGGAGUUGAUUU
Molecule: unclassified non-coding RNA, 1379 nt
Filed under: Hevea brasiliensis (rubber tree)
Lineage: Eukaryota; Viridiplantae; Streptophyta; Magnoliopsida; Malpighiales; Euphorbiaceae
Source: RNAcentral